Long non-coding RNA from Pongo pygmaeus (Bornean orangutan), 3873 nucleotides. RefSeq lists it as uncharacterized. The record is from RefSeq and is a predicted model, not a curated record. Lineage: Eukaryota; Metazoa; Chordata; Mammalia; Primates; Hominidae. The transcript is spliced from 8 exons.
UCUACACUGUUGUGCCCACCUUUCAGUGGUGCCUUUGUUUUAACCUUUUUUGCAUACUCACAAACCAAUCAGCACAUACUCCCCAUUCUGAGCUCAUAAAAGCCCUGGACCCAGCUACACUGGGAGGGAGACCACCCUUGCAGAUGCUGGCAGGUCUGUGCUCCCUCUGAAGGCUCUAAUGGAGAGCCUUUUCUUGCUCUUCCAGCUUCUGGUCACUCCGUACAUUCCUCAGCUUGUGAGGAACUGAGAGCUGUUCUGUCACUCAAUAGAAUUCUUCUCUGCCCUCCUCACCCUUUGAUUGUCAACAUAACCUUAUUCUUCUUGGAUGCAGGACAAGAACUUGGGAACCACCAACGUGGGUACAAGCUGUAACACAAGUGGGCUGGGGCAGGCCCAGCCUAGCCAUAGGCUAAGCACAGAACCUGUGGCGAGUGCAGGAUCCAGGCUGGCGUGCAAGCCAGGUGUGGCCCAGGAGGCCAAGUGAAUGGGGCGCCUCCUGUAGCAGGCCCAGAACUGAGCAAGGCCCAGGUGAGGAUGUCACUGGCUGUGGAGGUCCCCGGCUGACAAAGUGACUGAGAAAAAUCCUGCAUCACUAGGUUAUUGGGAGAAGAAACAGAGAGAUGGUGGAUAUCAGGGAGAAUCGCACCCAUCCAGCUACUUAUCAGGGAGCAAAAUUCAUGACAGGCCUGAGAAUCCCAAGAUCAAGAGACAACAAACCAAAGAGAAAGGUUACGAGUUAACUAUUGCUGAGUCAGACUGGCAUCCUUCUUUGCUUAACAUCACCAGAAAUAUUUUUAGAAAGCUGAAAACAAUUCAAGAGACCAACGAGUCAAUCGCACUGGACAUAUAACUCUGAACAAGAUAAUUAUGGGACUUGAACUCUAGAAUUGCAAAUGCUGAUCAACACUAUGAAGGGACUGCAGCGUUGAGAUGACAAGGGGGAGUUCUGAUAGGAUUUCAUUAACUUCUAAUUUGCCUGAAUGUUUUUCGCCAAAACCAUGGUUCUCAAACUUGUCUACACCUUGAAAUCACCUAGAGAGUUUUAAUGCUGAUGCCCCGGUUCUGCUCCUAGAGACUCAGAUUUAAUUGGCAUGACAUGCAACCUAGAUUGGAUUUUCUGAAAGCUGCAAGAUGAUUCUAAUGGAGCAAAGUUCGACAACCACAGUCACCAAACAAAUGCUUCCUUCACAAAGGUCAGAGGAAGUGUGAUCUCGGCUUGAUUCAAGCCAGCAAGCUACCUGCCUUCUGAAUCUGAGCCUUCUGCUUCUGCUGUCAAGAAGAUAACCAGCACCUCAGAAGCUCUCUUCAUACACCCCUCAAUCACUACUCACUGGAUUUGUUUGGCCUAUUUUCAAACAUUGUAUCUAUAAAAUCAUAUAGUAUACAUUAUUUUGUGUUUUGCUUUUCCAUUCCACAUUAUGUUUGUGAGAUAUAUCAAUGUGACUGUAGGUGGUAGUAGUUUGACCUAUUUCAUUGUUAUAUAGUAUUUCAUCUUAUGCCUAUACCAUGAUUUAUCUAUUCUUCUCUUGAUUAACAUGUAACUUGUUUUCAGUUUGGGAACAGUAUAAAGUUAUGUUGCUAUAAAACAUUUUUACUAAGUACUAUUCUUUGUUGACUCUAUAACAUGGAGUAUUCAUUGCUGGGCCACAGGGUGUGUGUAUGUUUAACUUUAGUUAGUACUGUCAAUUCCUUUUCAGAAGUGGUUGUACAGGUACCAAAUUUGUUCUCACACCAGCCAUUUAUGCAGAAUCCAGUGACUCCAUAUCUUUGCCAACACUUGGUAUCUCAUUAUGGUUUUAAUUCGCCUGUUCCUAAUCACUAAUGAAAUUAAGCUUUUUUUUUUUUUUUUAAGUACCAACACUACUUUAACAGAAUUGACUUUCUGAUAUCAUUGAUUUAUCUUGAUCUAGAACUGCUCUUCAUGGUAGGCAACUCACUAGUUGAUGCCCUUAAAACUUUUCCUUAGAGAGUACAGAUUUUUAAUCUAAAAAUUAGCAAGUGUGUUAUAUGGACAUUUUCUUUGUGUAACAACAACACAGGUAAAAAUAAACAACUUUCUAAAUAUUAAUACCACUUUUAAAAGCUAUUCUGAAAUUCUUUACCCUUAUAAGUAUUUGGUGAAAAGGUGAGGCAAUUUUAUUGGUAUAAAUGUAUAUCUCAUAAUUGUCAACAAACAAAAUGAAUUCCAACCGUAAUACUCAGACACGUUUUGCAUGAAAAGUAACCUGGAAUGGCAAAUGCAAUAGUAUCUCCUUAUUUUUUAGGCCAUUAAAAAUCAUUGCCGGCUGGGCGCAGUGGCUCAUGCCUGUAAUCCAGCACUUUGGGAGGCCGAGGCAGGUGGAUCACCUGAGGUCAGGAGUUCAAGACCAGCCUGGCCAACAUGGUGAAACCCCGUCUCUACUAAAAAUACAAAAAUUAGCCAGGCAUGGUGGCGCAUGCCUGUAGUCCCAGCUACUCAGGAGGCUGAGGCAGGAGAAUCACUUGAACCCAGGAGGUGGAGGUUGCAGUGAGCUGAGAUGGAGCCAUUGCACUCCAUCCUGGGUGACAGAGCGAAACUCUGUCUCAAAAAAAAAAAGAAAAAAUCAUUGCCACUUCCACCUACAUCAUCAAUGAAGAAGGGCAGCAACAAAUUCGGCUACAUAAAGAUGACAAAUGUACAAAGGACAGCCUGUGAGAAGGGACAGGUUUAGAUUUUUGGCUUCAUGCUUAGGUUUCAUAUUUUCUAAUUUGAAUUUCUACUGAUUUUGAUAUCCUUUUUAUGUUCUGAUUAGGCAGAUUAAAUAUGUCUAUAAAGAAUUUUCCAGAUACAUGAUAUUACAUAAGAUCAUAAUAAAAUUAUUUGAAGACACAGGCAACAUGUUUGAUUUUUUUUAAGGUUCUGUGUGUUUCUGAGAGAAUGUUUGUUUAUAUCACUUUACUAGCAUGUCAAAAAAUCCCUAGUGAGGAUUGUAAAUUGAAAACCAGAAACAAUGCCAACAUUAUUACUAUACCUGGAGCAUUUACUCUUGUCUAUUUACUGUUCUUUACAGUAAAGAAAGCUCUGUAUUUAUUCUCGUCAGUCUCCUUUAGCAGAAAAUUUGUGAUGGUUUGGAUUAUUGUUCAGUAAAUAUUAAUUCCCCUACAACUCCAACUGUGGGCAGAGAAAACUUCCUUGCCUUGUUGAUAUUGGGCUUGCAAAGUUAGCAAAUGUAACACAGGCAGAGGCCUUAAAUAUGUCUAUAUGGUUUGGCUUGGCUUUGGGACUCCUGGUAUUCAUCUUGAGAAUAAAAUGGUCAGAUGGCCACUGAUUUAAACAGUGUGAAAAUUAUGUGUAACACAUCAAAUCCUGGAACCCAGAGCCUGGAGCUGGGCCAAGCUGAGCUGCAGUCAACCUACAAACCCAUGAAUGAUAAAUAAGAUCUUGAUGUUUUAAGCCACUACAUCUUGGUGUGGUUUGUUAUGCAGCAUUAUUGUGACAAAAGCUGACUGAGACAGCUUCUGAGUCUGUUGGUUAAAAAUGUUUGCAUUAAAGUUCUCAAAUAUAAAAUGUAUUUAGUAAAUUAGUCAACAGUACCACUCAGUCAAAAGAUAGUUAUUGAACACUUAGAAUGUGCCAAUCACAGUGCUACAUAGUGGAGAUGGAUGGUAAACAAAAUAGACAUGGGGAAACUUGAAAAGGUAAUUGAAAUACAAUCUGACCUGUUCUGAUAAGGACAAGCAAGCACCAAUUACGGGAUGAUUUAGAAGGGAGACUAGAACUAGCCUUGACAAGUCAAGGAAGUUUUCUCAGAGAUGAAGCAUGAGUAGGGAUUAUUUACAUUACCGUAGGAAGAAUCAAUAACAUCCUCAAAAACUCAGAAAUAAAAAGAUAUAGUAAUUCAGUGAACUACAAGA